ACUGUUUAAUUAAAACAAAGCAUUGCGAUGGUCCCUAUAGAUGCUGACGUAAUGUGAUUUAUGCUCAGUGCUCUACAUGUCAAAGUGAAGAAAUUCAACCAAGCACAGGUAAGCGACGAGAGUAACUAUGUCUCUCUUAAGGUAGUUAGAUGCCUCUUCAUCUAAUUAGUGACACGCAUGAAUGGAUUAACGAGAUUCCCAUUGUCCCUAGCUACUAUCUAGAGAAACCAAAACCAAGGGAACGAGCUUGGAAUAAUUAGUGAGAAAAGAAGACCCUGUUGAGCUUGACUCUAGUUUGACUUUGGAAAAUGAUUUGAGAGGUGUAGAAUAAGUGGGAGUUGUUUUCAGUGCAAGUGAAAUACCACUAUUUUUAACAUUAUUUUACUUAUUCCAUGGCGCAGAGAUGGGGCAUUACACAUAUGUUAAAAUAUAACACGCAUUUCCUCAAAGUGUUGUCAUUGAUGGCAAUGGUCGAGAGCCCAUUCUUCAUGCACUUGAUGGCAAUGAGUUUAGGAAACCCAAGAGGAUCAUUGCUUUUAAGGAUGAAUAAAGUUCCUACAAUCCCUAUUUUUUUAUCCAACAUCCCCCUAU
Non-coding RNA from Picea glauca (white spruce), 591 nucleotides. The record is from Rfam. NCBI's taxonomy places the organism in Eukaryota, Viridiplantae, Streptophyta, Pinopsida, Pinales, Pinaceae.